CUAAAGAAACAUAGCUGAAGAAACCCUAGAUCAGCCGCACAAGUUAUUCCUCUCCUAAUCAAGGCGAUUCUCCAUCUUCACUUCGUCAUCCCUUCAUCAUCUUCAAUUUAUGACUUCUGUGUUGAACUCACACUCAAUGGCGGCCAGAAACACAAUCCUUAUGUACCGGCGUGACACCUGUUCUUCAAUCUAUGUGAUACUUGUGGUUCGAUUUAUUGAAGCAAUCUUUAAGAUUAAGAUUAUUGUUUUUGGUGGGUUAAACCGUUGAAGAGAAGCAUCAGAGGUUUUUGGUUUUUAGAGAAUAUUUCUGGUGGGUUAAAAAGCAUAACAGUUCCAGUCCUCCUAACAGGUUAGGUAUCCUAAUUUUCCGAUUUCACCCCUGUAGAGCAUCGCUUGACGGGGCGCUGCUGCUACCAAAACAAAAUUAUUAAAAGUUUUAUAUCUCAAUGAGGUAACUGUUAGUUUCAUCAAAAUGAUUUUCAAAAUUUAUAAUUUUAUUUUACAGUUUAGGAAUUGAUAUAAUUGAAAUGAAAUAGUUAGGAUUCUGCCCUUUAACCAAUAUAUAUAUAUAUAACAUGAAGAAGCUGGGGUUCCAUAUCAAUUAGCUUUUAUAGGUAAAGUAAUAAAAAAUUGAAUAUUAACUAGAAGUUAAAUAUAAGCAAUUAUUUUUGUUUCUUUAAUAGGGCUCCAUAUCAGUGAGUAUGUCCAUAUAUUUCUUGAGUUUUUGUUUCAUAUGCACUCAUUUAACAUUUGACAUUGUUAAAAUGAAUGCAAAUAUGGAUGAAAUAUAUAAAAGAACACACUUUAAUUCAGUGUUAAAUGCUACAGUUCAAGAAAUGUAAUGAUCAUUAGUAAGCAUAGGAUUUAAAUAUGUUUAUUUUAUCUAUAGUUGAUUAAUUCCUUUUUGAAGAUUACUAACGCCUACUAAUAGGAAAAAUGUUUUAAUAUGUAACGUAAAGGCUAUUUUACAAAUUGAUUUUGUAACUUUUAGGCGAUAUUAGUAACUUUGGUUUUCUUGAAUGAAACGAUUAUGAGGUUGUGUUGAAUGUACAAUUUGGAAAACGUUUGAUCUCAUUUGACCUGUUUCAUUUUUAGCCAAAAUUAUUAGAUAUUACACAUUUGGCCUGUUAGCUAACAAAAGUGCUGAUAGGAAAAUUGUUUUAAUAUGUAAUGUAAAUGCUAUUUUACAAAUUGAUUUUGUAAGUUUUAGGCGAAUUAUAUGGUUGGGAGAUCUUACUUACCUCGUUGAUUUGUCAUACGAGGAAACACGUGAUUUGAUUUCCAACAAUGCAUAGUCCAAGUUGUUAGAAAGCAGAGAUGAGCUCGGUACCAACUAGGUAGUGAAAAUCCCCUAAAAUGUGUACGGUACUGGUACGGAAAAUCCCAAAAAUGGGUGCCGGUACCAAAAAUCCAAAAGUCGGUACCUAAAAUAUUUCGGUUCGGGGUAUUCGGUCUCGGUAUUUGGUACCAUUUGCUCAUCCAUAUUAGAAAUUGAUCACGUCUCGUGGUGGUAGCACUUCAAACCGUGGUGCCAAAAGUGGUACAGGUCGUUAUGCUGGCCAUGGUUCUAGAUGGGGAACCUUUACCAAUAUUCGCAUUGUUAAUAAGCUAUUAAACGGGGAGUCAAGAAAAAUGAAGACACUGGCUUGGCGUUUAGAUGCUCCUAAUCUUGAAAGCUACCAUGCAAGAGUGGGGUCUUUGUAUUGCUAUUGUUACAAAUGCAUAUGUAAUGUUAACAGGGGAAGGUAGCUUUACACAUUUAUGCUUCUUGUAUAUGAGUUUGCUAAACCCAACAUCUACUUCUUGUAAUGUUAACAUUUAUGCUUGAUGACUAUUGAACCCGUAUAUUAUUGUUGCUUUUGAUUGUAAUUUAAAUUUUCCUACCCGGGUAUCUACCCGGGGAAUAACCUAGUACUAUAUAGAUACAUAUAAUUUGCUUUUUAUUGUUGUGAUCAUGACUUUAGUAUCUAUGUAGAACUUCAUUCUACAAAAGCCUACAUACUCCAUUGAUCAUCAUAUACCUAACACUUGCUGACCAUGUGUAGUGGAAGACACAAAUAAUGCCCUCACCCUUAGGUGUUUUGCGCCAUGUGGCAGUCCAGUUAGCAAUGUGGCAUUAUGGGACGUUUUUCUAAAAUGGGUGCAGUGGGGAUGUGGGCAUUGUGGGGCAUUAUGUUAAAAGGGGUGUGAUAGAACUUAAAUAAAAAAA
Molecule: long non-coding RNA, 2209 nt
Filed under: Helianthus annuus (common sunflower)
Lineage: Eukaryota; Viridiplantae; Streptophyta; Magnoliopsida; Asterales; Asteraceae
Description: hypothetical non coding rna
Source: RNAcentral